This 906-nucleotide long non-coding RNA is filed under the name Vigna radiata. RNAcentral's name for it is "long non-coding RNA (VRAD_LNC007799)". The record is from RNAcentral. Lineage: Eukaryota; Viridiplantae; Streptophyta; Magnoliopsida; Fabales; Fabaceae.
UUUUAAUGAGUAUUUCCAGUACUCAACUAGAUAAAAGGUAUAAGGCUCACCUAUCUUUUUUAGGUUCUUUAUACAUAACAUUUUUCAGCAGAAAGUUAGAAGCUAGAAUGACAUGUUAAGUUCAGGUUUUUCUUCUUCUUUUAUGGACAUGAAAGACACAAUAUUUGAAAGGAAAAUGUUUCGUUGACACCUUUCAUUUAACACACGCCACAUGGCAUCAUUUGGUUGGUUGUUUGGAUGAAGAAACUCAACUCUUUUUUAAAUGAUCCGGAGGGUAAUUUUGGAAAACGAAAUGUAUGAAAUUUAAUUUUCACGGUUUCAUUUUUAUCCUUCGUUCAAUUUGGCUUGGGUCUGUCGCCUCCACUCUCCAUUGGCCUCCUCCUCUCUCCACUCGCCUCCUCCUCUCUCCAUUCGCUUCAUUUCUCACAUUGCUCCCUAACGCGCUUCAGCUCUCUUUCUCGUUUUGGGUUUCUUUGGCGUUGUUGCUCUCUUUCGUUUUGGGUUUGGGUGUCUUUCGCGUUUUCACUUAAGUUCUUUUCUUUUGUUUAGUGUUGUGCCUUUGUUUCGUUUUGGGUUUGGGUGUCUUUCGCGUUGUCGCUCUCUUUCUCAUUGUCUCACUUCUCGAACACUAGUCUAUUUUUGUUGUCUUUAUUGUUUUUGUGUUUUGUGAAUCCUAAUCCACCGCCAUUGAUUUAUUUGUAUGAAAUAUGUGCAGUUGCAAUGGCGUCAACAUACAGUGGUCCAUGACAAUGAACAAAGAAUAAGAUAUGAGUCUGUGUCCUCCUUUGGUUAUGUGGACAAUGAAGAGGGAGUGUGGGUUCCAAAAGGGACACAACCAAUGAACAACGUCAACGUACAGUGGUCCAUGACAUUGAACAACCAAUAUUUCCUGUAUUAUAUUUGACN